GUCCAGCAGUUCAGUAGGAUAGACCAACAGCCUUCUAAGCUGUAGAUCGGGCGUUCGAAUCUCUCCUGGGACA
This 73-nucleotide transfer RNA is filed under the name Allobacillus salarius. RNAcentral's name for it is "Allobacillus sp. SKP4-8 tRNA-Arg". It matches the Rfam family "tRNA". From Rfam's summary of the family: Transfer RNA (tRNA) molecules are approximately 80 nucleotides in length. Their secondary structure includes four short double-helical elements and three loops (D, anti-codon, and T loops). The record is from RNAcentral. Lineage: Bacteria; Bacillati; Bacillota; Bacilli; Caryophanales; Bacillaceae.